RNAcentral lists this ribosomal RNA (450 nucleotides) under uncultured bacterium. RNAcentral's name for it is "bacterial SSU rRNA". It matches the Rfam family "Bacterial small subunit ribosomal RNA", at positions 958 to 1399 of the family's 1533-position model. The record is from RNAcentral.
AACGCGAAGAACCUUACCUGGGCUUGAACUGCUAGAAGUAGCCUUUAUGAAAGUAGAGGCGGACCGUUAAGUCGGUGACUAGCAGAGGUGCUGCAUGGCUGUCGUCAGCUCGUGUCGUGAGAUGUUGGGUUAAGUCCCGCAACGAGCGCAACCCUUACCCUAUGUUGCCACGUCUGUAAUGGACAGCACUCUUAGGGAACUGCCUCGGACAACGGGGAGGAAGGUGGGGAUGACGUCAAGUCACCAUGGCCUUUAUGUCCAGGGCUACACACGUGCUACAAUGGCCGGUACAGCGAGCAGCAAAUCCGCAAGGAGGAGCAAAUCUCUAAAAGCCGGCCCCAGUUCAGAUAGUGGGCUGCAAUUCGCCCACUUGAAGGUGGAAUCGCUAGUAAUCGGGGAUCAGCUGGCCCCGGUGAAUACGUUCCCGGGCCUUGUACACACCGACUGUAC